RNAcentral lists this ribosomal RNA (195 nucleotides) under uncultured bacterium. Its description in RNAcentral is "partial 16S ribosomal RNA". It matches the Rfam family "Bacterial small subunit ribosomal RNA", at positions 1306 to 1500 of the family's 1533-position model. The record is from RNAcentral.
UGCAACCCGCCCACAUGAAGUUGGAGUUGCUAGUAAUCGCGGAUCAGAAUGCCGCGGUGAAUACGUUCCCGGGCCUUGUACACACCGCCCGUCACACCAUGGGAGUUGGGAGCACCCGAAGCCGGUGAGCUGACCGCAAGGAGGCAGCCGUCGAAGGUGAGACCGAUGACUGGGGUGAAGUCGUAACAAGGUAGC